AUAGAACUACGAGUACUUCGUCGUCCGCUUAUAGUGGAGGAGAGACGUAUGUCCAGACCACAAGCAGCCAUUUGUUUUUAGAGUAUUUCUCGGAGAAAUUAAAACAGCAUUUCAAUAAUUGACGAAAAAUAAGUUAACGAGUAUUGCAUGCAAGUGAUAAACAAAGAUCUCGCAAAAACGGUUCUGCGAAAUUCGCUACAUCUGGUUGCUCAACAAAAAGCUGGAACGAAGCAUAACAGAAAUGAGCUGUAUAGUGGAGCUGCAUAUAUUCAACGAUAACACAAACUUAAUGCGAGGCGUCCCAAUACAAGGUAAAAGAAGCAACUCUCAAAAGUACAGCGAGGCUGCUUGGCCAAAGAAACAUGACAUUUUGGGUAAAUCCGUUUUUGGUACGCUGCUGCUGUACUUGGUCAUUGCCAAGUUUCGGCAGCGAUGUCGGAUGCUGCAGUUGUUGCUGUUGCUGCCGUGGUCUUCAAGCCUGUCCCAACUGCAUCGUGUUUGGGGCUGCAACCAAGUGGCAAUCGGUGAGCAUAAUUAAAGUGCCAAAGCAGGAUGGCAAUUGCCCUUAGCCGCAGCCAAUUAAGCGCGUCACGCGCUUAGCCAAAGACAGAGAACGUUGCAACACAAACAAUGGAUGCCACCAAACCAGAGGCAACGAUGGCAGCCAUGGCAAUCAUAAAGUCACUUGCCACACGGAAAUUGCAAGCUUCGGUCAGCAAUGGCACGUGGCUAAAACUAAAAGGGCGCGCGCCCCAAAAGUUUUCUACGCCGGAAAUUGCAAACUGCGGCUGUUGGCUGACUGUCUAGCGCCUGCCGCAGACAUAUUUAUUUAUUCUUGCUCCGCACUUAAAAAGCCAAUUGCAGAUGAUGUGGCAGCAUAACGAAGUCUUCAUUUCGAUGUGAUGAGGCUCAGGACGCUGAGGCACUGCACUAUGGUCCAGCCGACCACUUUACUUGGCAUUAAUACAUUUUUUAAAAGUUAAUAAUAUAUCAUCAAAGUUUCGAACGCAUUCUACAAGAAACAGACUGACUAUCAAUGUUGCAUACCAAAAAUUUGCAUAGAUGGCGCCACUUUCGAGAAAUCAGCUGUUAAAGUAAGCUGUUCGUCAACAAAAGCACGUGCAGUAGAAAAGUGCAUUUUGAGAUGUACUUUUCAAUGUUCAAUAAUUUCAAAUAAAACAUUAAUCUGAUUAAAAUUUGUGAUGAAUUCAAAUAAUUGGGGCUUG
Molecule: long non-coding RNA, 1226 nt
Organism: Drosophila nasuta
Lineage: Eukaryota; Metazoa; Arthropoda; Insecta; Diptera; Drosophilidae
Exons: 3
Source: RefSeq, a predicted model, not a curated record